Molecule: ribosomal RNA, 345 nt
Filed under: uncultured bacterium
Lineage: Bacteria
Description: bacterial SSU rRNA
Rfam family: Bacterial small subunit ribosomal RNA
Source: RNAcentral
GUGAGUAGUUCAGAGUUUGAUCCUGGCUCAGGAUGAACGCUGGCGGCAUGCCUAACACAUGCAAGUUCGAACGAAGCACUUGAGUAGCUUGCUAUGAGAGUGACUUAGUGGCGAACGGGUGAGUAAUGCAUGAGCAACCUGCCCUUCAUGGGGGACAACAGUUGGAAACGACUGCUAAUACCGCAUAACACUUCCGAAAGGCAUCUUUUGGAAGUCAAAGAUUUAUUGCUGAAGGAUGGGCUCAUGUCUGAUUAGCUAGUUGGUGAGGUAACGGCUCACCAAGGCGACGAUCAGUAGCCGGUCUGAGAGGAUGAACGGCCACAUUGGGACUGAGAUACGGCCCAG